RNAcentral lists this transfer RNA (74 nucleotides) under Parcubacteria group bacterium CG2_30_36_38. RNAcentral's name for it is "tRNA-Thr". It matches the Rfam family "tRNA". Rfam says of the family: Transfer RNA (tRNA) molecules are approximately 80 nucleotides in length. Their secondary structure includes four short double-helical elements and three loops (D, anti-codon, and T loops). RNAcentral also lists the same sequence under 3 other names. The record is from RNAcentral.
GCCAAGAUAGCUCAGUUUGGUAGAGCAACGGUUUCGUAAAUCGUAGGGCGUGGGUUCGAUUCCCACUCUUGGCU